CUACGGGUGGCAGCAGCUAAGAAUCUUCCGCAAUGGGGGGAACCCUGACGGAGCGACGCCGCGUGUGUGAAGAAGGCGGAAACGUUGUAAAGCACUUUUCUUGCUGAAGAAUAAAGAUGAGAGGGAAUGCUCAUUUGAUGACGUUAGGCAAGGAAUAAGCCCCGGCCAAUUACGUGCCAGCAGCCGCGGUAACACGUAAGGGGCGAGCGUUGUUCGUAAUCAUUGGGCGUAAAGGGCUCGUAGGCGGAUUAUUAAGCUUGGUGUUAAAGUACCCGGCUCAACUGGGUGAGAGCGCUGAGAACUGAUAGACUAGAGUUUAGGAAGUGAAACUGGAAUUCCUGGUGUAGGGGUGAAAUCUGUAGAGAUCAGGAAGAACACCGGUGGCGAAGGCGAGUUUCUAGCCAUAAACUGACGCUGAGGAGCGAAAGCGUGGGGAGCGAACAGGAUUAGAUACCCUGGUAGUC
RNAcentral lists this ribosomal RNA (464 nucleotides) under uncultured bacterium. RNAcentral's name for it is "partial 16S ribosomal RNA". It matches the Rfam family "Bacterial small subunit ribosomal RNA", at positions 339 to 795 of the family's 1533-position model. The record is from RNAcentral.